This 86-nucleotide transfer RNA is filed under the name Holdemanella biformis. RNAcentral describes it as "tRNA-Leu". It matches the Rfam family "tRNA". Rfam says of the family: Transfer RNA (tRNA) molecules are approximately 80 nucleotides in length. Their secondary structure includes four short double-helical elements and three loops (D, anti-codon, and T loops). Further hydrogen bonds mediate the characteristic L-shaped molecular structure. tRNAs have two regions of fundamental functional importance: the anti-codon, which is responsible for specific mRNA codon recognition, and the 3' end, to which the tRNAs corresponding amino acid is attached (by aminoacyl-tRNA synthetases). tRNAs cope with the degeneracy of the genetic code in two manners: having more than one tRNA (with a specific anti-codon) for a particular amino acid; and 'wobble' base-pairing, i.e. permitting non-standard base-pairing at the 3rd anti-codon position. RNAcentral also lists the same sequence under 1 other name. Lineage: Bacteria; Bacillati; Bacillota; Erysipelotrichia; Erysipelotrichales; Erysipelotrichaceae. The record is from RNAcentral.
GGCGUGAUGGUGAAAAUGGUAGACACGAUGGAUUUAAGAUCCAUUGGCCAGUAAUGGUCGUGUGGGUUCGAACCCCACUCGCGCUA